AAUCAACGCUGGCGGCGUGCCUCAGACAUGCAAGUCGAACGAUUAAAGCUCUCUUCGGAGAGUGUAUAGAGUGGCGCACGGGUGAGUAACACGUAAGUAAUCUACCUUUGAGUGGGGAAUAACCCGGGGAAACCCGAGCUAAUACCGCAUAAUGCAGCGGCACCGCAAGGUGACAGUUGUUAAAGGAGCAAUCCGCUUAAAGAGGAGCUUGCGGCAGAUUAGCUAGUGGUAAGGUAAUGGCUUACCAAGGCUUCGAUCUGUAUCCGGCCUGAGAGGGCGGUCGGACACACUGACACUGAAUAACGGGUCAGACUCCUACGGGAGGCAGCAGUCGGGAAUUUUGGGCAAUGGGCGAAAGCCUGACCCAGCAACGCCGCGUGAAGGAUGAAGUAUUUCGGUAUGUAAACUCCGAAAGAAUGGGAAGAAUCAAUGACGGUACCAUUUAUAAGGUCCGGCUAACUACGUGCCAGCAGCCGCAGUAAU
This 483-nucleotide ribosomal RNA is filed under the name uncultured bacterium. RNAcentral describes it as "bacterial SSU rRNA". It matches the Rfam family "Bacterial small subunit ribosomal RNA", at positions 32 to 524 of the family's 1533-position model. The record is from RNAcentral.